ACAUGCAAGUCGAACGAAGCAUUUAGAACAGAUUACUUCGGUUUGAAGUUCUUUAUGACUGAGUGGCGGACGGGUGAGUAACGCGUGGGUAACCUGCCUUGUACUGGGGGAUAGCAGCUGGAAACGGCUGGUAAUACCGCAUAAGCGCACAAUGUUGCAUGACAUGGUGUGAAAAACUCCGGUGGUAUAAGAUGGACCCGCGUCUGAUUAGCUAGUUGGUGAGAUAACAGCCCACCAAGGCGACGAUCAGUAGCCGACCUGAGAGGGUGACCGGCCACAUUGGGACUGAGACACGGCCCAGACUCCUACGGGAGGCAGCAGUGGGGAAUAUUGCACAAUGGAGGAAACUCUGAUGCAGCGACGCCGCGUGAGUGAAGAAGUAAUUCGUUAUGUAAAGCUCUAUCAGCAGGGAAGAUAGUGACGGUACCUGACUAAGAAGCUCCGGCUAAAUACGUGCCAGCAGCCGCGGUAAUACGUAUGGAGCAAGCGUUAUCCGGAUUUACUGGGUGUGAAGGGAGUGUAGGUGGCCAUGCAAGUCAGAAGUGAAAAUCCGGGGCUCAACCCCGGAACUGCUUUUGAAACUGUAAGGCUAGAGUGCAGGAGGGGUGAGUGGAAUUCCUAGUGUAGCGGUGAAAUGCGUAGAUAUUAGGAGGAACACCAGUGGCGAAGGCGG
RNAcentral lists this ribosomal RNA (673 nucleotides) under uncultured bacterium. RNAcentral describes it as "bacterial SSU rRNA". It matches the Rfam family "Bacterial small subunit ribosomal RNA", at positions 53 to 724 of the family's 1533-position model. The record is from RNAcentral.